Molecule: ribosomal RNA, 508 nt
Filed under: uncultured bacterium
Lineage: Bacteria
Description: partial 16S ribosomal RNA
Rfam family: Bacterial small subunit ribosomal RNA
Source: RNAcentral
GACGAACGCUGGCGGCGUGCCUAAUACAUGCAAGUCGAACGCUUCUUUCCUCCCGAGUGCUUGCACUCCAUUGGAAAGAGGAGUGGCGGACGGGUGAGUAACACGUGGGUAACCUACCCAUCAGAGGGGGAUGACACUUGGAAACAGGUGCUAAUACCGCAUAACAGUUUAUGCCGCAUGGCAUAAGAGUGAAAGGCGCUUUCGGGUGUCGCUGAUGGAUGGACCCGCGGUGCAUUAGCUAGUUGGUGAGGUAACGGCUCACCAAGGCCACGAUGCAUAGACGACCUGAGAGGGUGAUCGGCCACACUGGGACUGAGACACGGCCCAGACUCCUACGGGAGGCAGCAGUAGGGAAUCUUCGGCAAUGGACGAAAGUCUGACCGAGCAACGCCGCGUGAGUGAAGAAGGUUUUCGGAUCGUAAAACUCUGUUGUUAGAGAAGAACAAGGACGUUAGUAACUGAACGUCCCCUGACGGUAUCUAACCAGAAAGCCACGGCUAACUACGUG